This 66-nucleotide transfer RNA is filed under the name Schistocephalus solidus. It matches the Rfam family "tRNA". From Rfam's summary of the family: Transfer RNA (tRNA) molecules are approximately 80 nucleotides in length. Their secondary structure includes four short double-helical elements and three loops (D, anti-codon, and T loops). Further hydrogen bonds mediate the characteristic L-shaped molecular structure. tRNAs have two regions of fundamental functional importance: the anti-codon, which is responsible for specific mRNA codon recognition, and the 3' end, to which the tRNAs corresponding amino acid is attached (by aminoacyl-tRNA synthetases). tRNAs cope with the degeneracy of the genetic code in two manners: having more than one tRNA (with a specific anti-codon) for a particular amino acid; and 'wobble' base-pairing, i.e. permitting non-standard base-pairing at the 3rd anti-codon position. The record is from Rfam by way of RNAcentral. Lineage: Eukaryota; Metazoa; Platyhelminthes; Cestoda; Diphyllobothriidea; Diphyllobothriidae.
GUCCUAGUAGCUCAGUUUGCUAGAGCCUUCCCCUGGCUGGCGUGGGUUCUAAUCCCACCGAGGCCG